AGGGCCUCCUGGGCAGUCCUGGGUGGUGGGGGAAGCAAACUGGCAGGGUAUAUGGGGACUAACAUCACCAAAUUGCCUUGAAACAUGGGGACUAACGUCACCAAAAUGCCUUGAAACCCAGUCCAUGUCCCAGUUGUCCCCACCAUGUAGGAGAAAAGUGGGGAAUCACUGCUAUCCCCAGUUAGUGAACUUCUGCCAGGACUCCUCCCUCAGCUUUCUGGUGCCUGCGGUGUUGUGUUGCCCCACAGCUCCCAUCUGGAAAAGAUUUUGGCAUGUAGGCACGUAAGUUUGCCUGGGAGAAAGUUGGCCAUCCCUCUUUGUAGGGCAAGAGUUCUCACAGAGACUUGUAACACCAUGGGAGCCCAGGACUGCUGCAGGAACGGGGCUGCUGGAGGGAAAAACAAGUGUGCAGGCUUCUCUGAGUGCUGCUGACUGCUGUCUGGGACAGAAUGCCUUGGUCUCAGACUCUUCGGUAAAGCGGCUAAAUCGUCAUCAAAAUUGUUUCCCAACGGGAACCGGGCGCUUCCGACAAGUGCCAACAGCGGCGGUGCUGUUUGCUCCGGUUUUCAGAGCAAAACCCCGCAAAACGGAGCCAGUGUCGCCAGGUGGAUGGAUGGAUGGAUGGAUGGAUAGACGGACAGAUGGAUGGAUGGAUUUGGUCCCACGGCAAACAUCGCGCUGGGAGCUUUUGCCGGAUCCUGCUGCUUUGUGGCGUUUCUUAGCAAAGACCAAAAAUAAAGAUAAUAAUAAAAAAAAAAGGAGAGCAGCGAUGCGCGGCGGGCUCGUUUGGAAGCACAAAACGAUAUUUUCUUAGCGGCGUGGGAUGAUGCCCUGGGAAUAUGUCUAAUUUUUAUUUGAAAUUUGUCUGAUUUUUAUUUUUUUAAGUAAAAAAAAAAAAAAGUCUGUGCAACCUCUGCUGUGGGGACGGAGGGGAGGCAGGAUGGGACUGGGUGGAGGCUGACACUGCCGUGAUAGCGCAGGGGAAGGAAGAGGAGCUCUCCUAGAGGAUGGAGAGGCAAGGGAUGGAUGAAGCCCGGUCCCAGCCCUUCGGAGCUAGGAAGAGAGGCAACUAGGCGGCCGCUACGAGAAGCAGCGAAGGUGUGAGGGUGGGUUUUUGGGAACUGGUCUUGUCCCGGAGCCCUCCCAGCACCUGGGGGGGGACCGCCCUAACCCUGCCCGCCCCGCCGGCACCGGGGCUGCCUGGCGCGGCCGUCGGAGCCUCUCCUCCGCGCCUUGCGCUGCUUUUAACACCGCCUUUUUCUUUUUUCCUUUUUUUUUUUUUUUUUAAAAAAAAACACUUUUAGUGUCUUUAAAAAAAAAAAAAAAAAAAAAAAAAAAGGUUGAAAUCAUUAACCAGGCGGUUAAAAAAAAAGACACUUCUAGUGUCUUUUUAAAAAAAAAAAAAAAGGUUGGAAUCAUUAACCAGGCGGAGCUCGGGCAAAUAAAAAAGAAGCUGCAGAUCAUUAUUAAAAAAAAAAAAAGGAAAGGAACCCGCUCUCAACCACCUAUCCCAUAAAAAAUCCGCUGGUGUGAGUGUCGGGGUUUGAAAGCCCCCGGGGAAAUCACCCCAAAGCACGGCGGAUCAGGUCCCGGUGGUGGUGGGGGGAGCACCGGCAGGCUGCAGGGGGAAAGGACCCCCGGAUCUCCCCCUCUCCGCCGUCCGGGGGAGGCUGCCCGGGGCCGGGGAGCAGCCGGAGGGCCGGAUCCUGCCUCCUGCAGCCGGCGGGCAAGGCUGGAGCUGCAGGCCGGCCUCGGAGCGGGGGUUUUGGGGAAAGGACAGAUAAAAAAAUAAAAGAAAUGGAGUGAGAUGGAGUGAAAUGUAAUGAAAUGAAAAGAAGAGAAAUGAAAUAAAUGAAAUAAAAAAAUGAAAUGAAAUGAAAUGAAAUGAAAUGAAAUGAAAUGAAUAAAAUAAAAUAAAAUAAAAUAAAAUAAAAUAAAAUAAAAUAAAAUAAAAUAAAAUAAAAUAAAAUAACCCAUCCGGGGCCGGUGCCCGCGGCGGUGGCUCAGCCCGCUUCAAUGUCACAGCCGCCGGGGACUGGAAUCGCUCCGUAUCACGGGGUGGCCUUGAUAAAAGGGUAUUUUAAGGAGCUCGGAUAAGGGAGCGAGAGCAGAGCGGGGGGAAGCUGCCGGCACGUCGCCUGCAAUACCCGCUGGGCUUAUCAGCCCGGCCUAAACUCGCCGGCAGUUUCUGAAGUACAUUAAGUUACAUAAACACGGCUCGGGGAAGAACUCGCUCCACGCCGCGACAGUCCCCAAAGUGACCCCCGGUCGGGGCUGCCCGCUGCGGGGACCGGCCCUGCACCGAGCUGGGGGCCGGGGAAGGAGCGGGCAGGGCGCGCCCGCAGACGGCUCUCCCCCACCCCUUUUUUGGGAGGCCGAAGUGCCCGUGAGGGGCUUUGCCUUAAUUGGAUGCAAACCCUUUUAGUAUUUUUUUUUUUUAAAUCAUCCUUCCCUUUUUGGCCACGACGGGCAGUUCCUUGCUGCCUCGGCUCCCCGGGGUGCCUCCAAGCUCCGAGCAUCCCCCUGCGGGGCUUCCCUCGGCCCCAAAACCCCCGCACCCCAUCGCGCAUCCCGCCCUGGUGCCACCGCCCCGCCGUGUGCCCCGGGCUGAAAAUGACGUCACGCGGGGAUUUGGGAAGGCGGUGACGUCACGAAGAAGGAGCAGCCGAGGGCUGGACCCGGGGGCAGAGCUGAAAGGAGACGAAGAGAGGGUGGAGGGGCAAGGGGUGCGUGGGGGCGGUUUGCCACGCUGGUCCCAGUCCGGCUGGGCUUGCUAAAUGGGAAAAUUAAGGAAUUGCAAUUAAUAUUAAUUAAUAAAGCACAGUUACGGGGUGCGGCGGCAACCCAGCUGGGACGAAGCGGCGUUUGCAUCUUUCCCCCGCUCCUGGAGCGUAUUUUUUAUUUUAUUUUAUUUUAUUUUUAAGUGAAAACACGUAAAAAAAAGGUAAAAUUAAAUAAAGUGGCAAAUUCGUGUCGGCAGAAAAGGCAGGGAAUUUCGAGACGACGAAGCGUUUUCUGUUGAAAAUUACACCCACGAAAGUGCAUCUAAAAGUCAACAAGGUUAAAAAUAAAAGAAAAAGUCCCUCCAAUCUUCCUUUUUAUCAGGCAGGGCGACCCGAGGAGCGCUGUUCAUUAGCCAGAAGUUCAUUAGCCCGCCUUUAAUCACACAGUCCACCAGGGAACCGGCUCCCCAGGCACCCGCUCGUCCCUCCCCGACCCCUGCCGCGACAUCCCCGCAAUCACGGCGCGCGAUAAAGCCUCGCUGUCGCGACACGUCCCCCCCCUCCCAGGCGCCGGCGGAGCAGCUGGCUGCCCCGUGCGACAUCCCCCAGCCUCUGUCGUCGCCUGCCCCGGUCACCUUUGCCUUGCGACCCCCCAGGAGAAGCGGGGCCCGGGGCCCGGGCUGGAUGCGGCCCCGGCGAGCCCGGGCUGAGCUCUGCUGGCAGCCCUGGCCGCGGAUGCGUCUUUCUGGAGGGACUGAUGAUGACAGAUACCCAGCUGAUAACCUCUGGCGAACCGAGUUAUUUUAAUUUCCAGUCACUUUCCUGCUAAGUGCCGUAUCGGUUUGUACACAGCUGAGAUAAGAGGAUAGGGCUGGGGGGGGAAGGGGGGAGGAAGGGUUAAAGGGAGAGGUUUUGGGGGGGAGAAAAAGGGAAGAAUGAGAAAAAAAACAGCGGAAAAAUGCCUACCGCCUGCUGCUGGCUUGGCCACAUCCUACGGCCGGCUUUGGCUUCACCUGAUGGCUGGGGCAGCUCAAGGAGGAGCCACGGUUUUUUCCUCUCGGAUGGCUCUGAUUAUAAGAAUCGGGAGAUUUGGGGUCGUUCACCCGAUCCCUUACAGCGGGAGCCAAGGGCAGCUCCUCCG
Molecule: long non-coding RNA, 3864 nt
Filed under: Cairina moschata (Muscovy duck)
Lineage: Eukaryota; Metazoa; Chordata; Aves; Anseriformes; Anatidae
Description: domestica (muscovy Duck (domestic type)) lncRNA (ENSCMMG00000016320.1)
Source: RNAcentral